AGCUCCAAUAGCGUAUAUUAAAGUUGUUGCGGUUAAAAAGCUCGUAGUUGGAUUUCUGUCGAAGACAACUGGUCGCCACACAUGUGGAUGCAUCUGGCUUGUUUUUGACAUCCUCCUGGAGAACGUUUCUGUCCUUGAUUGGAUGGUGCGGUAUUCAGGACUUUUACUUUGAGGAAAUUAGAGUGUUCACGGCAGGCUUUCGCCCUGAAUACAUUAGCAUGGAAUAAUAAUAUAGGACCUUGGUGCUAUUUUGUUGGUUUCUAGAACUAAGGUAAUGAUUAAUAGGGAUAAUUGGGGGCAUUCGUAUUGACUCGUCAGAGGUGGAAUUCUUAGAUUGGGUCACGACGAACUACUGCGAAAGCAUUUGCCAAGGAUGUUUUCA
This 382-nucleotide ribosomal RNA is filed under the name uncultured eukaryote. RNAcentral's name for it is "SSU rRNA". It matches the Rfam family "Eukaryotic small subunit ribosomal RNA", at positions 587 to 972 of the family's 1831-position model. The record is from RNAcentral.